CACACUCACAUACACACACACAGACUCUGGGAGACGCGCGCCUUCCGGAAGUGUUCCUCUUAUUGCUGCCCAAACCUGAACCUCUUCCUCGAGGAGAGAAGGGCAAGACGAGAGAGAGUGCACGGUGAUGUAUGAACAGGUCCCCUCCGAGGGUGGGGCUGGGGCCCCUCCACCUCUCUGCUGGAGGUCCCGACUCAGAGUGGGAAGUGGUCAGAGGAGAGGAGACAGCUGUGUUGGAACCUGGCUGCCACAGGAGAAGCAGCUCACUUCCUCUCUGCGCCACAGUCCAGGCUAAAAUCCCAGAGCGCACAGGUGGGAAGUGGAAAUGGACAGUGCUGCCAUCCUGUCGGGGAUCUUUCUAUAUCCAAAACCAAAAUAUAGGACGAGGCCUCUCCGGGUUCAUUCUAAAGAGGUGGCAGGACCAUUUAUUCAUGAAGAUCCUCCUGGGUUGACUGUGAAUCACGUUGACGUUGGUUUAAGGUGAACCUGACGUCGACAGGCGUGCUCCUGCGUUUGCUGCAUUUCCUUCGCAUCCCUCUCCUGCUCUUUGUCUUCUUGUUAACUUCACGCUCGGCAGUCGUGGUAGGGGGAGGGGCGGUCAUUCCCACUUACGACCAAGCACAAAGCGCAGAAGACUGAGUGCAGACCCCUCCUCAGUCACCGACCACUGCUUCUGUCUCACCGGGCUGUUCCUGGAUGGGGGUCAAGAUAUCCAUCACUCACAGUGACCCUCAGAAGACCACCACUGUAAAUAUAUAAAGGAAAGCUCUUCCUGACCCUGCUGGUCGGGCGGCCCGCGACGGAUCCAGGCCCGUGAGUUGUGAGUGGAAGUAACAGAAGUGCUGUGUGUCACCUCUGGACUGGGGCAUCUAAUCGUUGAUGGGAGACCUCCCAGAGCUCUCUUUUCUUCUGCCAUCACGGCCAUGUGACUGUCUUCUCAACCUCUGUGGUGGAUGUUCAGCACUGCCAAGGCCUCUGAAUGCCAGAUGCACCACUCUGCGCCCUCCUCAUGCCAACCCCAAGGCCUCCGGGGUCUAGUAGCCCUCUCACAACAUUUCUCCCCCUCCACACCUGAUCUUUGGACCUCAAGGCCUUUAGGAUGCUGUGAGGUCAUCCUCAAGUAAUUCAUUCAGCUACAGUGACCACUGCUCUGGCACCACGCCACAUGGUGGGGGUGGGUCUUUUUCUCAGAUCCUGGGCGUCUCCCUAGGCUAUACUUUGGGGAGCAAGGCACAAGUGUCCGCUUAUCCCAGGCCCCAUCCCCGAAACCUGUCCGAGGUUUCUAUCAAUCUUGUCCUACACCCAGUUGCUGGGAUUAAGCCCAAAGCGGGGCUGGGGGGCUGGGGGUAGUCCAGGCUGUGAACAUUCUUACAGGGCAGCGGAACAAUGUGGUCCUCUCUUGCUCUCCUUCCCACUUCUCCCCUCCCUCAUCCUCUGGGAUGGAAAGCUAUCUCUUGUGUCAGUGCUACACAAAGUGCUGGUGUGCAACAAGAGGAGGACGUUGUGCCAGCAUGUAAAUCAACACGCUGCUCCUUCAUCAAGAAAGUCUUGCCAGUCGUGAAAUAAAAGUGCCGCCUGCAUUAAGCGGUGUUGAUCCUGAUAAAGCUGAUUUGUA
Molecule: long non-coding RNA, 1615 nt
Organism: Equus caballus (horse)
Lineage: Eukaryota; Metazoa; Chordata; Mammalia; Perissodactyla; Equidae
Source: Ensembl